RNAcentral lists this unclassified non-coding RNA (544 nucleotides) under Sodalis endosymbiont of Crataerina melbae. RNAcentral describes it as "16S-23S ribosomal RNA intergenic spacer". The stretch from base 227 to 343 matches the Rfam family "Salmonella enterica Typhi npcRNA 44". The record is from RNAcentral. Lineage: Bacteria; Pseudomonadati; Pseudomonadota; Gammaproteobacteria; Enterobacterales; Bruguierivoracaceae.
CCUAAACGAAACGUCAAGUGACGUGUCCACACAGAUUGUCUGAUAACUGUCACGAGCAAAGCAGCCCGUCGGCGGCUUUUUUUAUGCCGAUUUUUCGUGUCCCCUUCGUCUAGUGGCCUAGGACACUGCCCUUUCACGGCGGUAACAGGGGUUCGAACCCCCUAGGGGACGCCACUUUGCUUUUUAUUUCAGAGCGCGUUUAUCGAGCGCGCUGCGAAAUACCGCUCUUUAACAAUCCGGAACAAGCUGAAAAUUUGAAACACAUGCUGAAGUGCAAACUCAGUAUGCGAGUCUCUCAAACGAAGUAAGCAAACCUGAGAUAACGCGUAAGCGUUAUCACUGUAGCGCGACAGGCAUUGUCGUCUCCGUGGCGUCUUCACAGACGCCGCCGGGUCUCGCCAGUAUGGCGACACUCGAGCGAGACGGCGCGAACGGCUGAAAGCCCAGGCGCACGGCUCGCAGGCACCGCAGUGGACUUGAUGUCCAUGAGGAUGCCGAGUACCGCGCAACGCCGGAUUUCGGUCGUGCAGCCCGUCGGACAAGG